RNAcentral lists this ribosomal RNA (589 nucleotides) under Salmonella enterica. Its description in RNAcentral is "partial 23S ribosomal RNA". It matches the Rfam family "Bacterial large subunit ribosomal RNA", at positions 210 to 838 of the family's 2925-position model. The record is from RNAcentral. Lineage: Bacteria; Pseudomonadati; Pseudomonadota; Gammaproteobacteria; Enterobacterales; Enterobacteriaceae.
CCCGAGGAAAAGAAAUCAACCGAGAUUCCCCCAGUAGCGGCGAGCGAACGGGGAGGAGCCCAGAGCCUGAAUCAGCAUGUGUGUUAGUGGAAGCGUCUGGAAAGGCGCGCGAUACAGGGUGACAGCCCCGUACACAAAAGCGCAUGUGCUGUGAGCUCGAUGAGUAGGGCGGGACACGUGGUAUCCUGUCUGAAUAUGGGGGGACCAUCCUCCAAGGCUAAAUACUCCUGACUGACCGAUAGUGAACCAGUACCGUGAGGGAAAGGCGAAAAGAACCCCGGCGAGGGGAGUGAAAAAGAACCUGAAACCGUGUACGUACAAGCAGUGGGAGCACAGGUUUACCUGUGUGACUGCGUACCUUUUGUAUAAUGGGUCAGCGACUUAUAUUCUGUAGCAAGGUUAACCGUAUAGGGGAGCCGGAGGGAAACCGAGUCUUAACCGGGCGUUAAGUUGCAGGGUAUAGACCCGAAACCCGGUGAUCUAGCCAUGGGCAGGUUGAAGGUUGGGUAACACUAACUGGAGGACCGAACCGACUAAUGUUGAAAAAUUAGCGGAUGACCUGUGGCUGGGGGUGAAAGGCCAAUCAAAC